CAUUAGUGUGUAUGAGUACAGAAGAAGCACCAUGGUCCUAUUCAGAUGGAUUGAAGUGUUUUUAUUCUCUCUACUAAUACUUCAGUGUAAAGGCAACAAUGUAACAACAACACAGACAGUAACACACACAUCAAAAAAUACAAGUAUUAUUGAACCUACAUCAGUAAAUGGAACAGUAAGGACUUCAUCAGGUGACCACACAACAACACCAAUCCCCACAACAUCAAAAUCAACAAAUGCACCUACUGUAUCACCAUCAAGCCAACCUACAUCAACAACUGGAACAACUGAAAGAAAUACUUUAUCAGAAAUUUGGAAACGGGUGAUCAUUGUUCUUGUGGGAAUUCUGGUACUAAUACUUGCUAUAGUCAUCAACACAUGGAAUAAACCUAACGGAAGCAAAACACAGGUGGAAGAAGCGACUAAGGUGGCGAGUGAACGCAGCUGCCAAAAAAAUGCUGAUGCUGAAGAUGUCUCCUAUGUCUCUGUCAGUUUUAUCAGGAGGUCCAAGUGUAAAGCCAAGGUCUGUAAUGAUAAUGAUGAAGAUGACACUGUGACUUACAGCACUGUGAAAUUUCCUUCCUCUUCUGCUGGCGUUUCCACUGAUCCCAGCAACCUCUAUUCCACCAUCAACAAACAAAAGAAACACGUUCCAGCCUGAAGGUUACAUUUUUUUAUGAUUGAUUGUUUGCAUUAUAUGAUAAAUAUGUGAAAAACAUUUUUACAUUUUCCUUUAACUAAAAAAAAAAGAAAGAAAAAAAUGACCUGCAUUUGAUAAGAUGACACACAUGAUCGACACACUGGCUAAAGUUUCCCACCUUUUAUUUAAGUUGAGUUGUUGUUAAUAUCUAUCAUAUGUCAAUGAUAGUGAUCUCUUUGGUAUACAAUUGUGAAAAAAUUUGCUCUUAAUGUACAAUCAUGAAUACAAACAGCACCAAGCUUUCGAGGUAGUGAAACAAAGAAACCACUGACACUCCCUCUAGAGGUUGAGGUUAACGUUUUAUACUGUGUGCUCAUGUACUGUAGGCAAAGUCAAUAUUUUAUAUCUCUUUGCCUUUUUAAUAUUGUUACUUUGUUUUGGAAAUGUAACAAAAACUUACUUGUUUAAGUCCAAUUGAAUUACCUGAUCUAACUGUGUCUAUGAUAUAAUAUUAAUUAUUACUCCAACUGUAAGUUUUGUAAGUUUUGCAUCUACUAAUUAAGAUGUUUUUUGUGGAAAAAAUAAAAUAUAAUGUAAAAAAAUCCCCCCAAAAACAUCCCUGCUUUUCCACAUUCCAUUAAGCUGCUAUAACACAAAUGAACACCUAACUAUCUGCAUAUAAAACCAGAAAGUAUAACAUCUAUGACUUAGCUUAAUUUAUACUGAUGUUUUAGCUUACAAAUAAAUAAACACAUGAUUCAC
Molecule: long non-coding RNA, 1402 nt
Organism: Astatotilapia calliptera (eastern happy)
Lineage: Eukaryota; Metazoa; Chordata; Actinopteri; Cichliformes; Cichlidae
Source: Ensembl